UCUGGUCAAUAAUGAACAAAACACUGGUUUGUGACAUAGUUGCAUCAUUUGUAAAUGCUUGUGGUUAAUCAGAUUUGUUCCUGCCUUCCUUCCACUUACACCAGGAGAAGAAAAACUUUUAACAAGUUAACAUGUGUAUAAUUUUUCCAAUUUUUGUCCCAUUCAGUUUUGUAAAGGGCUCUAUCAUGUCUUCUGGAACAGCAAA
Long non-coding RNA from Sphaeramia orbicularis (orbiculate cardinalfish), 205 nucleotides. RefSeq lists it as uncharacterized. The transcript has 3 exons. The record is from RefSeq and is a predicted model, not a curated record. NCBI's taxonomy places the organism in Eukaryota, Metazoa, Chordata, Actinopteri, Kurtiformes, Apogonidae.